UACAGAGGUCCCAAGCGUUGUUCGGAUUCACUGGGCGUAAAGGGUGCGUAGGUGGUGGGGUAAGUCGGAUGUGAAAGCUCGGAGCUCAACUCCGAGAUGGCAUUGGAAACUACCCUGCUAGAGGAUUGGAGGGGGGACUGGAAUACUUGGUGUAGCAGUGAAAUGCGUAGAUAUCAAGUGGAACACCAGUGGCGAAGGCGAGUCCCUGGACAAUACCUGACACUGAGGCACGAAAGCUAGGGGAGCAAACAGG
This 253-nucleotide ribosomal RNA is filed under the name uncultured bacterium. RNAcentral describes it as "partial 16S ribosomal RNA". It matches the Rfam family "Bacterial small subunit ribosomal RNA", at positions 524 to 776 of the family's 1533-position model. The record is from RNAcentral.